This 105-nucleotide small nuclear RNA is filed under the name Tursiops truncatus (common bottlenose dolphin). Lineage: Eukaryota; Metazoa; Chordata; Mammalia; Artiodactyla; Delphinidae. The record is from RNAcentral.
AUGCUCAUUUUGGCAACUCAUAAACUAAAACUGGAAUGAUAUAGAGAAGAUUAGCAUGGCCCCUGCACAAGUAUGACAUGGAAAUUUGUAGUGUUCCAUAUUUUU